Molecule: long non-coding RNA, 436 nt
Organism: Ornithorhynchus anatinus (platypus)
Lineage: Eukaryota; Metazoa; Chordata; Mammalia; Monotremata; Ornithorhynchidae
Exons: 2
Source: RefSeq, a predicted model, not a curated record
AGAACUGCCAGUAGGGGGUUAACCAAAGGCCUUUCCUGGCAGGAAAAGCUUAGGCUGUAGUCUAAUUUUGGACUUUAUUCAUAGGGAUUUUAAAAGGUGAAUGACACUUCUUAUAGGGUGGUAAAAAUUUCAAUGCGUAGCAAUUCGGAGCCCUGGUCUGCUUUGAAACUAAGUAUGAAAAGCACAACUACUAAGACCAGUGUAUAUUAUCCUGUUAAAAAUGGAAAACAAGAGAAAGAUCUAAUGCAGUGUCCAUGAGAAUAUCAAGCAAAGACCUACUGCUGCUGCCAAAUGCUUCACAUACAAAAGAAUCUUCCUUGGAAAGGGGCAGCUUUUAAUCGAGAUUUGCUGUCUCUGAAAAUCUAUCACUGGUUUUGCUUAAGAACCACUUUCUAAAGACCACAAAAGUAAAUACAAUUUACAUUUUCCCUCCAAA